RNAcentral lists this ribosomal RNA (440 nucleotides) under uncultured bacterium. RNAcentral describes it as "partial 16S ribosomal RNA". It matches the Rfam family "Bacterial small subunit ribosomal RNA", at positions 338 to 795 of the family's 1533-position model. The record is from RNAcentral.
CCUACGGGGGGCAGCAGUGGGGAAUAUUGCACAAUGGGGGAAACCCUGAUGCAGCGACGCCGCGUGAGUGAAGAAGUAUUUCGGUAUGUAAAGCUCUAUCAGCAGGGAAGAAAAUGACGGUACCUGAUGAAGAAGCCCCGGCUAACUACGUGCCAGCAGCCGCGGUAAUACGGAGGGGGCAAGCGUUAUCCGGAUUUACUGGGUGGAAAGGGAGCGUAGACGGCAGCGCAAGUCUGACGUGAAAUGCCGGGGCUCAACCCCGGAACUGCUUUGGAAACUGUGCAGCUAGAGUGCAGGAGAGGUAAGUGGAAUUCCUAGUGUAGCGGUGAAAUGCGUAGAUAUUAUGAGGAACACCAGUGGCGAAGGCGACUUACUGGACUGUAACUGACGUUGAGGCUCGAAAGCGUGGGGAGCAAACAGGAUUAGAUACCCUUGUAGUC